UGUAUCAUAACAUCAACAAAUUCCUACACGAGGUUUAUUAUUCGGAGAUGCAUAGUGACAACUUAGCUUGUGUAGAAAGAUUGCCAAGAAGAAAAAACCAAAUCUUCGUAGAUGCAUAUUACUCGAUGCAUAUAAAACCAAAAAGAGAUCUUCAAGGCCACAAUAAAGAAUACUACUCACUUGAUCUGCAGAAGAAGCACGUUCCACCAGUAGUGCAUUAUCUGACCAACUAAAAAGCACACACAAUUCCAGUGCCAAAUAACAGAGAAACCGAUAGAAACAAAACUCUGCAGAAACCUUGCGAAUAAACCAAAGAACACCAUACACGAAGGCACAUUGGGGGGCGUCUUAUUGCUAUUCAUGAUCUCAUAUUUUGUAGUGAAGUUCAUGAGGCAAGUUAAUAUGAUAAAAGUGUCUCCUGGAAUCGAGAAAUUCAUGAUAGGGAUUUACUUUCCAAAGAAAAAUGAAGUGAAUAAAAACCACAGCUCCGUAAAUGUGAACCAACAAAAGAUAAAAAGUUAAUAACCAACAAGUAAAAGAAGAGUUAAAAUUCUCAACACAUAGUAGGCAAAGUUCAGUUAUGAAUAAGAUUUUCAGCCUCUAGUUUCAAGCCCAAGAGAAUAUCAAUGUCAACAGUCAUUUUAGUAGUCAUACCGAACUGCAAUUCUACUAGAUUACUUGGAAAAGUGAAUUUCAGACAAAUAGAGACUUCAACCAUGCUAAUUUCAGUUUAUGAUUCCGAUCAAAACUAAUGGAUUGAAACUAGUGGAGCUAGGAUGGCAUGUUAAUUAAGAAGAAUGCAAGAAACAGGUUUAAAAUGCCACUAUUGAAAAUAAAUUUUAUAUUCGGCAAGUUUAUGAAACUAUAAAAUAAAUAUCCGAAUUCAAAUCAGUACAUUAUUACUUGUAAUUUAUGAAUUAUAUAAAUCUGGAUCAGUAGAAUCCUAAAAAACUAGAGGACGAACAUAAAAAAUAGAUUAUAGGUAGCAGAAGUAAAAGAUUAAACGCGGAACAUGCAGACUAAGCAGAGGUGAGGGAAUUUUAUCCUUGGUGAGAGCAUUUUAUAUAGCUACCAUCAUGAAUUCUAGCCAAGAUUUUAUAAACAGAUAAAAUCUAGCUGUAAUCAUCCAUAAAUUAUAAAUUAUAAUUUAAAUUAUCCUAUCCAAGAUUAGAAAGUUUUAUAGAUUAUAAAUUUCUAAUGUCUAUAUGUAGAAAAAGGAAAAAGGUUAACUCCAUUUUUUUUUUUCCUAUUAACUAACUUGGCAAGUAAGAAUGAUAUCAAAAUUUGCUUUGAAAGGCCAAAAAAGGGGUUUGGCUAAAGGAAAUAUAUCCAAAAAAGGAUGAUGAUAUAAUUAAUAAUUAAUCAAACCAAUUUAGACGGAAAUAGGACAGACAAAUUGUGAUCAACAUUAAAAAAAAACAGAAACUCAAACCUACAAAUAAUAUAAUAACUAAUAAUAAAUUUACUUUAGGACAUUUUUACGACUGCUUUCAAAAUCUAAGGCAAGAAACAAAACUCUGUGCAGAAACAAAAGAACACCAUACAUGAAGACACGGGGACACGGGGGGGGGGGUUGGGGGGGGGGGGGGUGUCUUAUUGCAAUUCAUGAUCUCAUAUUUUGUAGUGAAGUUCACGAGGGAAGUUAAUAUGACAGAAGUGUCUCCUGGAAUCGUUGAAUUCAUAAUAGGGAUUAACUGAAGACUGACAAAGAAAAAUAAAGUGAAUGAAAAAUCACAGCUCCGGAAAAGCGAACUACCGAGAGAUAAAAAGUCAAUAACCAACAAGCAAAAGAAGAGACAAAAUUAUUAACACAUAAUAGGCAGAAGUUAAGUUAUGAAUAAGAAAACAUCAGUGUCAACAGUCGUUUUAGUAGUCAUACCGAAUCGCAAUUUUACUAGAUUACUUAGAAAAGUGAAUUUCGAAAAAAUAGACUUCAGCCAUGCUAAUUUAAGUUUAUGAUUCCCAUCAAAACUAAUGGAUUGAAACUAGUGGAGCUAGGAUGGCAUGAUAAUUAAGAACAAUGCAAGAAACAGAUAUAAAAUGCAACUAUUAAAAAUAAAUUUUAUAUUCGGCAAGUUUAUGAAAAUAUAAAAUUCAAAUUCAAAAAUUAAAAUCAGUACAUUAUAAUUUAUAAUUUAUGAAUUAUAUAAAUUUGGAUCACUAGAAUCCUAAAAAACUCAACAGAGAACAUGUAGCCUAAGCAGAUAUGAGAGAAUUUUAUCCUUAGUGUAAGCGUAUCAUAUAGUUACCGUCAUGAAUUCUAGCCAAGAUAUUAUAAACAGAUCAAAAUCUAGCUGCAAUCAUCUAUAAAUUAUAAUUUAUAAUUUAAAUUAUCCUAUUCAAGAUUAGAAAAGUUAAUAAAUUAAAUAUUAUAGAUUAUUCAAUUAUAAAAGGAGCGUAGAGCUAUAAAUAUGCCAUUAUGAUUACCUUAAAUCCUGCUAAGGAAACUGAGAAACUAAGAGCAUAACACCAUCAACUCAGCAACCCAGAGCUCUAGGAGAUACUAAGAAGACGAACUCAAACAUACAGCUAGUUUUACUAAACAAUAAAUACACAACCAAACAAGCCACAAAAAGAAACCAGAGUAUAUGAAGAGAAAGUUCAAGAAGCCACACGUAAUUCGAUUAUACAUUACAAAGUCUAAAUGUAGAAAGAUGAAAAAAGUUAACUGGGAUCUUUGAGAGAACUAUAUAAACUCCAUGGUUUUUUCGCAUAAAAAAGUUAACUAAUCUUGGCAAGUACGAAUGAUAUCAAAAUUUCGGGGGGUAUGUUUCCUAUUAUCUAAGAUUUUUUAGAGAACUAUAUAAUCUCCAUGCUCUUUUUUUUCCCAUAACAGUUAACUAGGAUUUCAUCAGUGCUUUUGGGGAAUAUAUUUCCUAUUAAUUAAUCUUGGCAAGUACUUAUGAUAUCAAAAUUUGCUUCCAAAGGCCGAAAAAAGGGUGUGAUCGGGUAGAGCAAUUACAACAGCAAUUUAAUGAAACCAGUUUAGGCAGAAAUAGGACAGACAAAUUGCAUUACAAGAAAAAAAGAACAUUGUGAUCAGACAAAUAAAUAACUAAAAUCAACAGUAAGAAGGAAGAACAGAUUACCUGAACCUGGAUGAGUCCAAUUACUCUAGAAGCAUUAAAAUGGUAAGUAAACACAUGUUUGUUUCAAGCAGAGAACAGAAAUCACAAAAUGAAACAUCGACGUACUGAUGAGGUAUUAUCACACAAGGGAGCAGAAGUCCUAUGAAGUAAAUAAAUCAAAAAUUAGUUAUUUUUCCUGUUGUGCCUUGAUCCAACUGCAUUUAAUAGACAAGAUAGAAAAAAACAUCUAGGUGGUGAUGGAUAUUAGCACAAAGGUAAUAGAAAUACUAUGAAACAAACAAAUCAUAAAAAUACAUCAACUUCCCCAUUAUGUCGUGAUCCAAUCAGUAGCUAAGACUCUAAACCUCAAAUCCAACUGCAUGCAAAAUGAAACAGACAAGGACCGAGUAAAAACACAGAAGGUAAAAGAAGUCCGAUGAAAUAAAUAAAUCAUUAAUUAGAUCUUCCCCGUUAUAUCCCGACCCACAAGAAUCUAAAAACCUCAGACCGAACUGCAAUUUAAAGGACAAAUCAGAUUUAAAAAUCAGGCAACACCAUGUACGAAGGGGGUAUUAGAACACAAUAUGGAAAUGAUAGUCCUAUGAAAUAAAUAUAUCACUAAUUAUAUUCGCUUCCCCAUUAUGUCUCGAUCCGUUAGCAGCUUUUACGAUAAGACUCUAAACCUCAGAUCCAACUGCAUUUACCAGAAAAGACAAAAUAAAACAUCUAGGUAGUGACACGAAAAGGUAAUAGAAUUCCUAGGGAACAAAUAAAUGAAAAAUUAGAUCAUCUUCCCCAUUAUGUCUUGAUCCCAACAAUAGCUUUAAGGUGAGCCACUAAACUCAGAACAACUGCAAGCAAUGAAACAUCUAGGUAGAGAGGGGGAAUUAACAAACAAGAAGUAAUAGAAGUCCUAAGAAAUAAACAAAUCAGAAAUUAGUUAUCUUCCCCAUUAACUCUUUGUCCCAUCAAUGGCUUCAGACAAGACUCUAAACCUCAAAUUCAACUGCAUAUAAUAGAAAAGAGAGAAUAGAACAUCCACGUGGAGAAGGGUGUAUUACAACAGAAUAAGGGAAUAAGAUUAUCUUCCCUAUUAUGUAUCAAUCCCAUCAGCAAGACUGUAAACGUUAGAUCCAACUGCAUUAACCAGACAAGACGAAAUAAAACAUCUAGCUAGUGAGGGAUAUUAGCACACAAAAAGUAACAAAUAUAUCAAAAAUAAGAGCAUCUUCCCCAUUACGUCUCGACCCCAAGUUCCCAACAAUAGCUUCAAGGCGGGGAGGGUGAAUUAGCGAACAAGAAGGAAUAGAAGUCCUACGAAUAAACAAAUCACCAAUUAGUUAUCUUCCUCAUUAUCUAUUGUCCCAUCAAUGGCUUCAGACAAGACUCUAAACCUCAGAUUAUUAGCACUAACAAAGGGAAUAGAAUUCCCAAGAAAAAGAUCAAUCAUAUGUUAGAUCUUCCCCAUUAUGUCCCAGCAAGUAGCUUUAAGAUAAAACUGAACCUACGAUUGGUCACGGCAGACCAAAACAUCCAAGUAUGAAUAUCCCCUUAUCACACAAGUUAAAUUAUCGUCCCCGUUAUUUCCCGUUCCAAUAGCUUUAAGAUACGACUCUAAACAUCCAAUCCAACUGCAAAACAGAUAAAACAUCCAGAGAUGGAGGGGGUACAAGCACAAAAUAAGAGAUUGGCUGUCUUCCCCUUAUGUUCAUGCCCAUCAGGUGGUAAGAUAAUACUCCAAGCCUCAGAUCCAACUGUAUUUACCAGACAGGACAAAAUAAAUCACCUAGGUUGCGAGGGGAUAAUAGAUCCAUGAAAUUAAAAAUCACAAAUUAGAUUAUCUUCCCCAUUAUGUUCGACCUCAUUAAUAACUUCAAGAUAAGACUCCAAACACGAGAUCCAACUGCAUGCAAUGGACAAACCAAUGGAACAUCCAGGUGGGGAGGGGGCAUUAGCACACAAGAAAGGAAUAAAAAUCCAACGACAUCCCAUCAGUCAUCCAAAUUGUAUAUAACGGACAAACCCUGAGCACACAAUAAAUCAAAAAAUCAAUUAUCUUUUCCAUAAUGCUUCAAUCCAUUCAAUAGCUUUAAGAUAAGACUCUACACAUCAUAUCCAACUGCAUUUACUCAGGUCUCUUGCUUGAGAGAGAGGUGACCUAUCCACAUGAUCCAUAAGAGGCUGAAGUCUAGUAAAAUUAGAUUUUCAUCAUUCCAGAAGUUAGCUUUAGAAAAUAAAGAUGAAACUAGCAUAACUUCCCAAAGACCACAAAUCAAAGGUACCAAAUGAUUGAUCGACCAGUCAUUUUUGUUGCAAGUUUCUGCAAAUAGAAAGGAAAAACGAAAUAGAUCUGAAAUGUAAAAAGAAUAGAUUAUGGAGGGAAUCAUAAGAAUAUACAACUAUUGUACUCACCACCACUUGCCGAUCAACACAGCCCAAUCCAUUCUAUGUAGCAACCAAACUUCUCAAAACAUAACACGAAAUUGUCAUACAAGCAAAUUCACGAAAAGACCGAGAAAUGCUUAGAGCUCAAAACACUUGCCUUUAUCCAGAAAACAAAUCAAAUCAGCCAACAACCAGACCAGGGUGGGAAAACAUGAACCAAAUCCAAACCACGGGAUAUUAAAACGCACAUCACCUCAUAACCAAACAUCAUAAAUAUCUUGCCCGAUCAAUUAUCAUUCAAACAAGACCAGCAAAACUACCCAAUCAGAACCACAAAUAGACAGGCACAAAAGAGCUUUGGAUAAAACACAAGGUAGAUUAUCUUCCCCAUUAAGUUUCCAUCACAUCUGUAGCUUUACAUAAGACUCUGAAGCUCAUAUCCAACUGCAUUUUCCAACCGUUUGCUUAAGCGAUAGGUGACCCUGUGCAAACGGUCCAAGGAUACAUUUAAGAUCAGAUUCGUCAUUCCUAUAGCACAUGUAGUUUCAGAGAGUAAAAUGGAACUACGACAACUUCCCUUAAACCACAAAAAAGGAUACUAGUAGGACGCCUAAAUAAAUUAUCUUCCUAAUUAGGCAAUAGAUGAUAGGCAAUAGAUGAUCCUGUCCAAAGGGUACAUUAGUGCUUGUAAAAUCAAAUUUACUAAUCGAGUUGCAGAGUCAGUUUAAAAUAAUAUUAGAUGGAACUAGCAACACUUUUCUUUAAACCCCAAAACAGAGGUCCACCAUCACUUUUGUUGCAAAUGCCUGCAAACAGAAAGUAAAAGAAGAACAGAGGAUUUAAAGAUUGAUUUGAAAGCAAUAUGAUUGUAUAAACUAGUAAUAUGAAUAUUGGACGAAAAGGUGACGGUUGAGGGAGACAUAAGAAAAUACUAUCUCAAAAGUACCGUAGACGCAUCUCACUAAGCCUUCAACCAGAAGCAAGAAAACAGUUAGCUUUAGAAAAACAAGGAACACUGAGUCUUCAAACGGCGUAAAGAAGAAGCAAUUCUUUAGAUGAGACAGAUUAAACAGGUAGAGACUCUUUCAUGGUAAUUAUAAGCAUGUACCAGAUACUCCGAUUCCCCUGAGCCAAAAACAUCUUACGUGGUAACCAAACUUCUCAGGACUCCACAAAAAACUGUCAUAUAAGCAAAACAAGGAUAAGGAAAAAUACUCAAACUUGAAGCUUCGUCUUCUCAUGAUUUAUUAUUGUUUCCGUCGAAGUCUAUGUCAUCUCAUAAAAGAAAAUAGAAAAAAUAGUGAACCGUAACCAAACAUCAUGACACAUGCCGUAUCAAAAUCACCCAAGUAAGAACAGGAAAUACUAUGGUCGUAUGAAGUAAAAAUCUGAAAAUCGAAUGACAAGGAUGAUGAUCACAUUAAGAAUAUGUAAUCUGGAACUGACAAAAUCAUAUCCAACAGUAGACUCCACUAGAACCCACUGAGCAACAUAUUACACAAUCAGAAACAAAAGAAAGAUCCAUAAGCUAAUUAAAUCACAAAAUAAAUUAUCUUCCCAUCAGAUCGAACCGGGAUCUCUAGCUUAAGCAAUUGACGAUCCUAUCCACAGUAUUCAGGUGUACAUAAGCUCCUAUCCACACUAUCCAUGUGUGCGUAAGCUCUAGUAAAAUGAGAUCCAUCGUUCUACUUGCACAUUUAGCUUAGCUCCAUAAAAUAAAGAUGAGACGAAGCACAACCUUCCUAAAACCACAAAACAGAAAGUACCAAACAGUAAUAAAGCGAAUUGAUAGCCACAAAAAUGUUUGUUGGAAAUUUCUGCAAACAAGUAGGAAAAGCAGUAAAGGUAUUUAAAAUAGAUUAUAAAAAAACUUGUGAUAUAAAGUUAGAAAAAUAAGGAGGAUGAGGGAGAGAGAGAGAAAGCAAGAUUGAACCAUAUCUGGAACUGACGGGUGUCUCAGAGCUGAAUCCCUACUUUAAUACAACACCUGUGGAUCAACACAGUCCAAAGCAAAGGUCGAAAGUCGAGAAAUAUCAUAUCUUGCACAUAUAUAUAUAUCAUAAGGAGAAUCAAAUCUUAAUCGGCAGAACAGAGAGAAGGUUCUUCAUAUGAGACAAAUAGGUUGAACAUCCAGUGGCAGACGAAAUUUUACCGGACACUCUGUUUAGAAUUGUCAUAUAAACACAAUCAUGACGAGGGGAGAAUAUACUCGUAUUCAAAGCGCUUUCUUCUACAAGGAAUCUUUUUGAGAAAAAAUCAAAUCAGCCGAUUACCGAAACCCUGGCAAGAGAAAACACAAUCCAAACGCAAAACCCAUGAUAAUAAACCACUUGUUAAUGCAUACGAAAACCACACCUAAUACCUCGCCGGAUCAAAAUUACCAAAAUAAAACCAAUUCAGAAUCACAAUCAGACGAACGACCCCGAAUCGAUGACGAUCCAAUUGUCAAACCGGCAAAAUAACCCCAAAUAAAAUCAAAUCAGGACCACAAUCAGACGGUAUCGCGAAAGAGAAGAAAAAACACGCGAUGGAUAAACAUUGAAUUGAAUUGCGCAAGUUUCAUAGCGACGAUGAUACAUAUAAUCUAGAAAAACGGAGACGACAAAUAAACAAAAGCAAUAAUCAAACAAAACUCUAAAAUCCACAGAUAACCAACAAAGACGAGAGACGAAGAAAUGAGUUACGGUUGUAGGAGGGGACGGGUAUUUAUAGAAGAGUCGGUGUUGAGUGGAUGGCUGAGAUUAAUCGGAUCAAAGGUACCAAAUGGUUGGACAACCACCGUCAUUUUUGUUGCAAGUUUCUGCAAAUAGAAAGGAAAAACGAAAUAGGAUUUGAAAUGUAAAAAAGAAUAGAUUAUGGAGGGAUUCAUAAGAAUAUAAAAUUUGGCAUCACUAUCGUACUCACCACCACUCGUUGUUCAACACAGCCCAAAUCAUACUAUGUAGCAACCGAACUUCUCAACACAUAACACGAAAUUGCCAUACAAGCAAAUUCACGAAAAGGCGGAGAAAAGCCCAAAGCUCGAAACACUUUCCUUUUUCCAGAAAUCCUAUGACCGCGCGGAAAACAAAAUCAAACCAGCCAACAACGAGACGAGGAUGGGAAAAUAUGAACCAAAUCCAAACCACGGGAUAUUAAAUUGCAUAUCACUCCAUCACCAAACAUCAUAAAUACCUUGCCGGAUCAAUUAUCAUUCAUAGAAGACCUUGACAGCACCACAGAGAAAAGAAACAUAUAAGACACGCUCCCGAUAAUUAGACUGUAAGACCAGCAAAACCACCCAAAUCAGAACCACAAACAGAAAGGCACGAAAGAGCUUUAGAUAAAACACAAGUUAGAUUAUAUUCCCCAUUAAGUAUCCAUCACAUCUGUAGCUUUACAUAAGAGACUCUGAAGCUCAUUUUCCAACGGUUUGCAAAGGGUCCAACGAUAUAUGUAAAAUCAGAUUCAUCAUUCCUAUAGCACAUGUAGUUUCAGAUAUUAAAAUUGAACUAAGACACUUCCCUUAAGCCACAGAAGAAAGGUACUGACUGGUAGGACAGCUAAAUAAAUUAUUUUUCCGCGUAGUCAAUAGGCCAGAGUAAUGUAGAUGGAACUAGCAAAAACUUUCUUUAAACAGAAGGCCUACCAUCAUUUUUGUAGCAAAUGUCUGCAGACAGAAAGGAAAAGAAGAACAGGGGAUUUGAAGAUUGAUUUGCAAGUAAUAUGACCGUAUAAAGUAGUAAUAUGAAAAUUGAGGGAGCCGUUAGAAAAUACUCUCUCAAAGAAUCUGAGACGCAUCUCAAUAAGCCACUACCUGCUGCCGAUCAACACAUUUUGCAACCAGAAGCAAGAAAGUUUUCAUGAGAUAAAUAAAUCAGAAAUUAAAUUAUCUUCCCCGUCAUGUUGUCCGUAAAUCAGACUCAACCUCAGAUCCAACUGCACUAAUCCAUCUUUUGCUGAAGCAAUGGGUUAUCCUGUCCAAAGAUGGAACUACAGCAGACCCCCUAAAAUACACAAACAAAAGUUACCAAAUGGGAGGACAUCCACCAUCAAUUUUCGAGAGGAAAAGCAAAACCGGGAUAAGGAGAAAAUACUCAAACUUGAAGCUGUUUCUUCUACGAAAAAUCAUAUUUUAACCAUUUCCUUCGAAGUCUAUGCCAUCUCGUAAAAGAAAACCAAACCAACGGACAAGAGAAAUCAUAAUCCAAACCCACACAAUCGAAAAAUAGACAAAAUAGUGGCCGAUAAGGAAACAUCAUACCACAUGCCGUAUCAAAAUCACCCAAAUAGAUUUGAAAACAUAUGGUCAUAUUUCAAAAUUGAAUGAGAAGGAUGAUGAUUACAUAAGAAUAUACAAUCUGGAACUGACAAAAACCCCCACUGAUCGAUAAGCUAAUUAAAUCACAAAAUAAAUUAUCUUGCCAUCAUCAGAUCCAACCGAGAUCUCUAGCUUAAGCAAUUGGCGAUCCUAUCCACAGUAUUCAAUUGUACUUAAGCUCCUUAUCCAGGUAUACAUACGGUCUAGUAAAAUCAGAUCCUCGUUCUACUUGCACAGUUAGCUUAGCUCCAUAAAUAAAGAUGAAACACAACCUUCCUAAAACAACAAAACAGAAAGUACCAAAUAGUAAUAAAGUAGUAAAGCAGUAAAGGGAUUUAAAAGAUACAUUAAAAAAAUUGUGAUAUAAAGUUAGAAAAAUAAGGAGGGAGAGAGAGAGAGAGAGAGAGAGAGAGAGAGAGAGAGAGAGAGAGAGAGAGAGAGAGAGAGAGAGAGAGAGAGAGAGAGAGAGAGAGAGAGAGAGAGAGAGAGAGAGAGAUUGAAAUAUCUGGAACUGACGGGAGUUUCAGAGCUGAGUUCUUACUUUAUUACCACAACUGCGGAUCAACACAGUCGAAAGCAACAGUUGAAGGUCGAGAAAUAUCAUAUUGCACAUAUAUAUCAUAAGGAGAAUCAAAGAGAAGGUUCUUCAGAUGAGACAAAUAGGUUGAACGUCCAGUAGCAGAUCAAAAUAGCAGUCAAAAGGACGAAACUUUACCGGACACUCUGCUUAGAAUUGUCAUAUAAACACAAUUACGACAAAAAGGAGAACAUACUCGUAUUCGAAGCGCUUUCUUCAACAAAGAAUCUUGUUCAAAAAGGGUUGAGGAAAAAUCAAAUCAGACGACCUGGCAAGAUAAAACACAAUCCAAACGCAAAACCCCAUGAUAAUAAACCACUUGUUGAUGCAUAACCGAAAACCAUACCUAAUACCUCGCCCGAUCAAAAUCACCAAAAUAAAACCAAUUCAGAAUCACAAUCAGAUGGCCGACCCCGAAUCCAUGACGAUCCAGUCGUCAAACCGGCAAAAUAACCCCAAAUAAAAUCAAAUCAGGACCACAAUCAGACGGCAUCGCAAAAGUGAAGAAAAAAAACACGCGACGGACGAUGAUACAUAUAAUCUAAGAAAUAAACAAAAGAAAUAAUCCGCAGAUAACCAACAAAGACGAGAGACGAAGGAAUGAGUUACGGUUGUAGGAGGGGAUGGGUAUUUAUAGAAGAGUCGGUGUUGAGUGGACGGCUGAGAUUAAUCGGAUC
Molecule: long non-coding RNA, 11007 nt
Filed under: Erythranthe guttata (spotted monkey flower)
Lineage: Eukaryota; Viridiplantae; Streptophyta; Magnoliopsida; Lamiales; Phrymaceae
Description: long non-coding RNA (EGUT_LNC003229)
Source: RNAcentral